Molecule: ribosomal RNA, 442 nt
Filed under: uncultured bacterium
Lineage: Bacteria
Description: bacterial SSU rRNA
Rfam family: Bacterial small subunit ribosomal RNA
Source: RNAcentral
GUAGGGAAUAUUGCACAAUGGGGGGAACCCUGAUGCAGCAACGCCACGUGUGGGAAGAAGCAUUUCGGUGUGUAAACCACUGUCGUGAGGGAAUAAGGCUAUUUUUCGGAGUAGUUGAAUGUACCUCGAGAGGAAGCACCGGCAAACUUCGUGCCAGCAGCCGCGGUAAUACGAGGGGUGCAAGCGUUGUUCGGAAUCACUGGGCGUAAAGGGAGCGCAGGCGGAAGCUCAAGCGGAUUGUACAAUACCGGGGCCCAACCCCGGACCUGCAGUCCGAACUGGGUUUCUUGGAUAGUUCAGGGGCAAGCGGAAUUCCUGGUGUAGCGGUGGAAUGCGUAGAGAUCAGGAAGAACACCGAUGGCGAAGGCAGCUUGCUGGGGACUUAUCGACGCUCAUGCUCGAAAGUGCGGGUAGCAAACAGGAUUAGAAACCCCAGUAGUCC